UACGUAGGGGGCUAGCGUUGUCCGGAAUCAUUGGGCGUAAAGAGCGUGUAGGCGGUCCGGUAAGUCCGUUGUGAAAGUCAGGGGCUCAACCCUUGAAUGCCGGCGGAUACUGUCGGGCUAGAGUCCGGAAGAGGCAAGUGGAAUUCCCGGUGUAGCGGUGAAAUGCGCAGAUAUCGGGGAGGAACACCUAUGGCGAAGGCAGCUUGCUGGGACGGUACUGACGCUGAGACGCGAAAGCGUGGGGAGCAAACGGG
This 254-nucleotide ribosomal RNA is filed under the name uncultured bacterium. RNAcentral's name for it is "partial 16S ribosomal RNA". It matches the Rfam family "Bacterial small subunit ribosomal RNA", at positions 524 to 776 of the family's 1533-position model. The record is from RNAcentral.